RNAcentral lists this ribosomal RNA (1106 nucleotides) under uncultured Spartobacteria bacterium. RNAcentral describes it as "bacterial SSU rRNA". It matches the Rfam family "Bacterial small subunit ribosomal RNA", at positions 8 to 1088 of the family's 1533-position model. The record is from RNAcentral. Lineage: Bacteria; Pseudomonadati; Verrucomicrobiota; Spartobacteria.
AGAGUUUGAUCCUGGCUCAGAACGAACGCUGGCGGCGUGGAUAAGACAUGCAAGUCGGACGAGAUUUUUCGCUGUAGCAAUACAGUGGAAAGUCUAGUGGCGAACGGGUGCUUAACACGUGGGCAACCUGCCGAGAAGUGGGGGAUAGCUCGCCGAAAGGCGAAUUAAUACCGCAUGUGAUCAGGAUGGACAUCCAUUCGAAAUUAAAGGUGGCGCAAGCUACCGCUUCUUGAGGGGCCCGCGGCCUAUCAGCUUGUUGGUGAGGUAAUGGCUCACCAAGGCGGUGACGGGUAGCUGGUCUGAGAGGACGACCAGCCACACUGGGACUGAGACACGGCCCAGACACCUACGGGUGGCAGCAGUCGAGAAUUUUUCUCAAUGGGGGAAACCCUGAUGGAGCGACGCCGCGUGGAGGAUGAAGGUCUUCGGAUUGUAAACUCCUGUCAUUGGGGAACAAUGGUUACGCGUUAACUGCGCGUGGCUUGAUAGUACUCGAAGAGGAAGAGACGGCUAACUCUGUGCCAGCAGCCGCGGUAAUACAGAGGUCUCAAGCGUUGUUCGGAUUCAUUGGGCGUAAAGGGUGCGUAGGCGGCGCGGUAAGUCGGAUGUGAAAUCUCGGAGCUUAACUCCGAAACUGCAUUUGAUACUGCCGUGCUUGAGGACUGGAGAGGAGACUGGAAUUCUCGGUGUAGCGGUGAAAUGCGUAGAUAUCGAGAGGAACACCCGUGGCGAAGGCGGGUCUCUGGACAGUUCCUGACGCUGAGGCACGAAGGCCAGGGGAGCAAACGGGAUUAGAUACCCCGGUAGUCCUGGCAGUAAACGGUGCACGUUUGGUGUGGGAGGAUUCGACCCCUUCUGCGCCGGAGCUAACGCGUUAAACGUGCCGCCUGGGGAGUACGGUCGCAAGAUUAAAACUCAAAGAAAUUGACGGGGGCCCGCACAAGCGGUGGAGUAUGUGGCUCAAUUCGAUGCAACGCGAAGAACCUUACCUGGCCUUGACAUGCAUUGCUAAGCAGGUGAAAGCCUGCGACUGGAGCAAUCCAGACCUUGCACAGGUGCUGCAUGGCUGUCGUCAGCUCGUGUCGUGAGAUGUUGGGUUAAACCGU